CGCGAAGUAGAGCAGUUUGGUAGCUCGCAAGGCUCAUGACCUUGAGGUCGUGGGUUCAAUUCCCACCUUCGCA
RNAcentral lists this transfer RNA (73 nucleotides) under Prosopanche panguanensis. Its description in RNAcentral is "tRNA-fMet". It matches the Rfam family "tRNA". From Rfam's summary of the family: Transfer RNA (tRNA) molecules are approximately 80 nucleotides in length. Their secondary structure includes four short double-helical elements and three loops (D, anti-codon, and T loops). Lineage: Eukaryota; Viridiplantae; Streptophyta; Magnoliopsida; Piperales; Hydnoraceae. The record is from RNAcentral.